GAUGAACGCUGGCGGCGUGCCUAAUACAUGCAAGUCGAGCGAACGGACGAGAAGCUUGCUUCUCUGAUGUUAGCGGCGGACGGGUGAGUAACACGUGGAUAACCUACCUAUAAGACUGGGAUAACUUCGGGAAACCGGAGCUAAUACCGGAUAAUAUUUUGAACCGCAUGGUUCAAAAGUGAAAGACGGUCUUGCUGUCACUUAUAGAUGGAUCCGCGCUGCAUUAGCUAGUUGGUAAGGUAACGGCUUACCAAGGCAACGAUGCAUAGCCGACCUGAGAGGGUGAUCGGCCACACUGGAACUGAGACACGGUCCAGACUCCUACGGGAGGCAGCAGUAGGGAAUCUGCCGCAAUGGGCGAAAGCCUGACGGAGCAACGCCGCGUGAGUGAUGAAGGUCUUCGGAUCGUAAAACGCUGUUAUUAGGGAAGAACAUAUGUGUAAGUAACUGUGCACAUCUUGACGGUACCUAAGCAGAAAGCCACGGCUAACUACGU
Molecule: ribosomal RNA, 496 nt
Filed under: uncultured bacterium
Lineage: Bacteria
Description: partial 16S ribosomal RNA
Rfam family: Bacterial small subunit ribosomal RNA
Source: RNAcentral